RNAcentral lists this ribosomal RNA (497 nucleotides) under uncultured bacterium. RNAcentral describes it as "partial 16S ribosomal RNA". It matches the Rfam family "Bacterial small subunit ribosomal RNA", at positions 28 to 507 of the family's 1533-position model. The record is from RNAcentral.
GAUGAACGCUGGCGGCGUGCCUAAUACAUGCAAGUCGAGCGAACGGACGAGAAGCUUGCUUCUCUGAUGUUAGCGGCGGACGGGUGAGUAACACGUGGAUAACCUACCUAUAAGACUGGGAUAACUUCGGGAAACCGGGGCUAAUACCGGAUAAUAUUUUGAACCGCAUGGUUCAAAAGUGAAAGACGGUCUUGCUGUCACUUAUAGAUGGAUCCGCGCUGCAUUAGCUAGUUGGUAAGGUAACGGCUUACCAAGGCAACGAUGCAUAGCCGACCUGAGAGGGUGAUCGGCCACACUGGAACUGAGACACGGUCCAGACUCCUACGGGAGGCAGCAGUAGGGAAUCUUCCGCAAUGGGCGAAAGCCUGACGGAGCAACGCCGCGUGAGUGAUGAAGGUCUUCGGAUCGUAAAACUCUGUUAUUAGGGAAGAACAUAUGUGUAAGUAACUGUGCACAUCCUGACGGUACCUAAUCAGAAAGCCACGGCUAACUACGUG